UCCACCGUGAGUUCAGCAAAUGGAGGAGGCCGGGACGCGGGCAGAGAAACGGAUUUCCUGGCCCGGGAACAUCCUGGCUCUUGUUUCGGGGGUUGCGGGGGAGGGGGGAGUGUUUUUGUUUUUAAAUCAGAUACUUACAGGUCAUUUACUGGGUGUCAGGCCCUGCAGGAGUGAUUGAGUGUUCACGCAGGGACUCAGGUCCUGUCCCGGUCACCCUGACCUCAAAAGCAAGGAGGCUUUUUUUAGGCAGCCACAUGAUUUCUGAUGCCCAGUGCUUGAACACUCAAGUUUGGGGAAGAAAACGCCCCAGCUCUCGAGCCAAGCAAGGACCUUUGUCUCUAGUUAUAAGGCCAGCAAGACGGCUCUGCCGAGAAGGACACUUGCUGCAAGCCUGAUGACGUGAUGCCGUCCCUGGAACCAACCUAGUGGAAGGAGAGGACUUCUUCUACAAGCUCUCCUCUGAGCUACACACACACACACACACUAAACAAAUAAGUGUUUCAAAAUAUUUUAUUUAUUUUAUUUAUUUUUUUUUUUUUUUUGGUUUUCCAGACAGGGUUUCUCUAUGUAGCUUUGGUGCCUGUCCUGGAUCUUGCUCUGUAGACCAGGCUGGCCUCGAACUCACAGAGAUCCGCCUGCCUCUGCCUCCGGACUGCUGGGAUUAAAGGCGUGCGCCACCACGGCCUGGCUUUAAAAUAUUUUAAAAGCAUACAAAACUCUAUAUUCAGUGUUCUCUGAACCGUGUGUCCUUUUUCUUAGUGCCCUUCUCAAAAGAAGUUCUGCCUUAUAGAAAAAAACUACCCCACCACACACCUGUAAUCCUAACACACCAGAGGCGGAGGCAGGAGGAUUGCAAAGCCAUGUUGUCCCUGCUAGGAACCGGAAGCUUCUAGAAACAAAGUUGCUGCCUGUGGUGGUGAGGUCUUCACUGUACUUGCUCCAUCCCAGUUUCCCCUCAACAAAUGAUUUGGAUGGAUUUAGAAUAUUAAUCUAUUAAAUCCUAUCAUAUUAUACUUGUUAAAUUGUUCCAGUCUCUUAAAAGAAUUUGGAGCUGGGUGUGGUAGCACAUUCCUGAAAUCCAGGCAGGAAGGUCACCAGUUCCAAAGCAGCCUGGCAUACAUACACAGUAAGACCCAAUCUCAAAAGAAAAAAAAGAUUAAAGCAAUUUUCAAGAAGAUGUAGAAACCCAGGUCUGACAACCUAACAGAUGACAUAUUCCCUUUGUAUCUGCCACUGAUUCUUCAGCGUGUGUGGCAGUUUGAACGAGACAUGUCCCCCACAGGCUCAUUAUUUGGACACUUGGUGCCCCGUAGGUGGCGCUGUUUGAGGCUAUAGAACUUUCAGGAAGUGGAGCUUUUGCUGGAGGAAGUAUGUCACUGGGGAUGGGCUUUGAGGGCGACUAUUCUCGCUCCACUUCCUGUUUGCUCUCUCUGUUUCCUGUUUGCUGUUGAACAUAUGAUCUCUCAGCUUCCUACUCUGGUCACCUGCCAAGCUUCCCCCACCGUUAUGGAUUCUCCUUCUGGAACCACGAGCCUAAAUAAGCUCUUUGUUUCGUAAGUGGCUUUUGGUCGUGGUGUUUUGUCACGGCAGCAGAUACAGUGCACUCUUUAUAACAAUGUUGUCUGGAGUGAAGCUGGAGAUCGAGCCUUAUACCAAGCAGCAGAGCCCUCCGUGGAAUCUGGGAUGAGCAACACUUCCGAGAAGCCAUGAUUCAUCUUGCAAAUCACUCUUGGUGUCCCAUCUGUGAAGAGGCCCCAAAAUAGCUUGACCACACGGCAGCCAUGACAGGCUUAGGGGCCUAGACACAGCCUCUGUGACAGGCUUACUGGCAGACAACACCCAGAUCCAGGAAAAGCCUCCAGCUGAUACCACCCAAGGACCCACCCAGGGGUGAGGAAGUACCUGACAUCCCAAACAUUCCAACCAUUAGAUAAGGUGGCCAGAUGUCUUUGAGUCUAGCACACACCUAUUUUUUGUUUUACAGAUACCCCAACUUCUGCUAUGAUAAAAACUCUGCCCCACCUGAGCUCGGGGCUCUCUGCUCUCACCGCUGUGUCGGACAGACAGAGGGACCAAGCUCUGGAGCUUGAAAUAAAGGCUCUUUGCUUUUCCAUGCGA
Peromyscus californicus insignis is the source of this 2118-nucleotide long non-coding RNA. RefSeq lists it as uncharacterized. The record is from RefSeq and is a predicted model, not a curated record. The transcript has 2 exons. NCBI's taxonomy places the organism in Eukaryota, Metazoa, Chordata, Mammalia, Rodentia, Cricetidae.